CCCUAAUGCCAAUGUCUCUUUUAUAUCCUUCACUGGGGGAGCUGGAGAGGUGGAAAGGAGAAGCGGGAAGGGAUUUUGAUUCUCAAAUUUAGUUGGAGUUGGAGAUCAACAUUAAGUUUCUUCUUUGCCUGCACCAUACGGAAAUCACAUUUGAGAAGGAUUUUAUGAUUUUGUAAUGGACAAGAAGCCUAGAAA
This is a long non-coding RNA of Dioscorea cayenensis subsp. rotundata (Guinea yam), 195 nucleotides long. RefSeq lists it as uncharacterized. The record is from RefSeq and is a predicted model, not a curated record. NCBI's taxonomy places the organism in Eukaryota, Viridiplantae, Streptophyta, Magnoliopsida, Dioscoreales, Dioscoreaceae. The transcript has 3 exons.